This 449-nucleotide ribosomal RNA is filed under the name uncultured bacterium. RNAcentral describes it as "partial 16S ribosomal RNA". It matches the Rfam family "Bacterial small subunit ribosomal RNA", at positions 29 to 523 of the family's 1533-position model. The record is from RNAcentral.
AACGAACGCUGGCGGCAUGCCUAACACAUGCAAGUCGAACGAGAUCUUCGGGUCUAGUGGCGCACGGGUGCGUAACGCGUGGGAAUCUGCCCUUUGGUUCGGAAUAACAGUUGGAAACGACUGCUAAUACCGGAUGAUGACGAAAGUCCAAAGAUUUAUCGCCAGAGGAUGAGCCCGCGUAGGAUUAGCUAGUUGGUGUGGUAAAGGCGCACCAAGGCGACGAUCCUUAGCUGGUCUGAGAGGAUGGUCAGACACACUGGGACUGAGACACGGCCCAGACUGCUACGGGAGGCAGCAGUGGGGAAUAUUGGAAAAUGGGCGAAAGCCUGAUCCAGCAAUGCCGCGUGAGUGAUGAAGGCCUUAGGGUUGUAAAGCUCUUUUACCCGGGAUGAUAAUGACAGUACCGGGAGAAUAAGCUCCGGCUAACUCCGUGCCAGCCGCCGCCGUAA